ACGGGACGCCAUAGAGGGUGAGAGCCCCGUCUGGUUGGAUGCCAAAUCUCUGUAAAGUUCCUUCAACGAGUCGAGUAGUUUGGGAAUGCUGCUCUAAAUGGGAGGUAUAUGUCUUUUAAAGCUAAAUACCGGCCAGAGACCGAUAGCGCACAAGUAGAGUGAUCGAAAGAUGAAAAGCACUUUGAAAAGAGAGUUAAAAAGUACGUGAAAUUGUUGAAAGGGAAGCGUUUAUGACCAGACUUGGGCUUGGUUAAUCAUCUGGGGUUCUCCCCAGUGCACUUUUCCAGUCCAGGCCAGCAUCAGUUUCCCCGGGGGAUAAAGGCGGCGGGAAUGUGGCUCUCUUCGGGGAGUGUUAUAGCCCACCGUGUAAUACCCUGGGGGGGACUGAGGUUCGCGCAUCUGCAAGGAUGCUGGCGUAAUGGUCAUCAACGACCC
RNAcentral lists this ribosomal RNA (435 nucleotides) under Fusarium oxysporum. RNAcentral's name for it is "eukaryotic LSU rRNA". It matches the Rfam family "Eukaryotic large subunit ribosomal RNA", at positions 195 to 650 of the family's 3401-position model. Lineage: Eukaryota; Fungi; Ascomycota; Sordariomycetes; Hypocreales; Nectriaceae. The record is from RNAcentral.